RNAcentral lists this transfer RNA (71 nucleotides) under Marmota monax (woodchuck). RNAcentral describes it as "tRNA.Ala". It matches the Rfam family "tRNA". Rfam says of the family: Transfer RNA (tRNA) molecules are approximately 80 nucleotides in length. Their secondary structure includes four short double-helical elements and three loops (D, anti-codon, and T loops). Lineage: Eukaryota; Metazoa; Chordata; Mammalia; Rodentia; Sciuridae. The record is from RNAcentral.
GGGGCUGUAGCUCAGUGGUAGAGUGCGUACCUAGCAUGUGUGAGGCACUGGGUUCGAUUCUCAGCACCACA